UACGAAGGGGGCUAGCGUUGCUCGGAAUUACUGGGCGUAAAGGGCGCGUAGGCGGCCAUUCAAGUCAGAGGUGAAAGCCCAAGGCUCAACCUUGGAACUGCCUUUGAUACUGUUUGGCUUGAGACCGGUAGAGGUAAGUGGAACUGCGAGUGUAGAGGUGAAAUUCGUAGAUAUUCGCAAGAACACCAGUGGCGAAGGCGGCUUACUGGACCGGUUCUGACGCUGAGGCGCGAAAGCGUGGGGAGCAAACAGG
RNAcentral lists this ribosomal RNA (253 nucleotides) under uncultured bacterium. RNAcentral's name for it is "partial 16S ribosomal RNA". It matches the Rfam family "Bacterial small subunit ribosomal RNA", at positions 524 to 776 of the family's 1533-position model. The record is from RNAcentral.